AUUCCGGUUGAUCCUAGGCCGGAGGCCAUUGCUAUCGGAGUCCGAUUUAGCCAUGCUAGUCGCACGGGCUUAGACCCGUGGCAUAUGACUCAUGAACACGUGGCCAAACUACCCUACAGACCGCGAUAACC
This 131-nucleotide ribosomal RNA is filed under the name Haloarcula marismortui. Its description in RNAcentral is "partial 16S ribosomal RNA". It matches the Rfam family "Archaeal small subunit ribosomal RNA", at positions 1 to 131 of the family's 1478-position model. Lineage: Archaea; Methanobacteriati; Methanobacteriota; Halobacteria; Halobacteriales; Haloarculaceae. The record is from RNAcentral.